RNAcentral lists this ribosomal RNA (429 nucleotides) under Verrucomicrobiota bacterium. Its description in RNAcentral is "Verrucomicrobia bacterium partial 16S ribosomal RNA". It matches the Rfam family "Bacterial small subunit ribosomal RNA", at positions 355 to 776 of the family's 1533-position model. Lineage: Bacteria; Pseudomonadati; Verrucomicrobiota. The record is from RNAcentral.
UAGGGAAUCUUCCGCAAUGGACGAAAGUCUGACGGAGCAACGCCGCGUGAGUGAAGAAGGAUUUCGGUUCGUAAAACUCUGUUGUUAGGGAAGAAAAAAUUUAUAGUAACUAUAUACAAAAGAGACGGUACCUAACCAGAAAGCCACGGCUAACUACGUGCCAGCAGCCGCGGUAAUACGUAGGUGGCAAGCGUUGUCCGGAAUUAUUGGGCGUAAAGCGCGCGCAGGUGGUUUAGAAAGUCUGAUGUGAAAGCCCACGGCUCAACCGUGGAGGGUCAUUGGAAACUAAUAAACUUGAGUGCAGGAGAGAAAAGUGGAAUUCCUAGUGUAGCGGUGAAAUGCGUAGAGAUUAGGAGGAACACCGGUGGCGAAAGCGGCUUUUUGGCCUGCAACUGACACUGAGGCGCGAAAGCGUGGGGAGCAAACAGG